This 253-nucleotide ribosomal RNA is filed under the name uncultured bacterium. RNAcentral's name for it is "partial 16S ribosomal RNA". It matches the Rfam family "Bacterial small subunit ribosomal RNA", at positions 524 to 776 of the family's 1533-position model. The record is from RNAcentral.
UACGUAGGGGGCAAGCGUUGUCCGGAUUUAUUGGGCGUAAAGAGCGUGUAGGCGGUCAGGUAGGUCCGUUGUGAAAACUCGAGGCUCAACCUCGAGACGCCGAUGGAAACCAUCUGACUAGAGUCCGGAAGAGGAGAGUGGAAUUCCUGGUGUAGCGGUGAAAUACGCAGAUAUCGGGAAGAACACCCGUGGCGAAAGCGACUUUCUGGACAGAUACUGACACUGAGGCACGAAAGCAUGGGUAGCAAACAGG